RNAcentral lists this ribosomal RNA (253 nucleotides) under uncultured bacterium. RNAcentral's name for it is "partial 16S ribosomal RNA". It matches the Rfam family "Bacterial small subunit ribosomal RNA", at positions 524 to 776 of the family's 1533-position model. The record is from RNAcentral.
UACGUAGGGGGCAAGCGUUGUCCGGAAUCAUUGGGCGUAAAGAGCGUGUAGGCGGCCCGAUAAGUCCGCUGUGAAAGUCCAGGGCUCAACCCUGGGAUGCCGGUGGAUACUGUCGGGCUCGAGUCCGGAAGAGGAGUGUGGAAUUCUCGGUGUAGCGGUGAAAUGCGCAGAUAUCAGGAAGAACACCCGUGGCGAAGGCGGCUCUCUGGGACGGUACUGACGCUGAGGCACGAAAGCGUGGGGAGCAAACAGG